Long non-coding RNA from Triticum aestivum (bread wheat), 336 nucleotides. RefSeq lists it as uncharacterized. The transcript is spliced from 3 exons. The record is from RefSeq and is a predicted model, not a curated record. Lineage: Eukaryota; Viridiplantae; Streptophyta; Magnoliopsida; Poales; Poaceae.
AGAAAAUCUAGAGAGUAUUGAUGAACUAGGAUUGGUUGCAUGAGAUAGUCGUGUCACAAAUUUAGAGAGGGAGGGAAUACAGGAGCAAGUCUCAAGGUCUAGCUCCCAUUUGUGUUGGAUCAGUGAAGUGUGCGCUUUGCGGCAUGUUAAAUUGGAGUUGGAGUUAAGAAAGAUCAAUCUCCUUGGAUUGUCUGGUGGAUGGGGUUCCAUUUGUUCUAGGAUUACUCUUGAACUGCAAGUGAGCAAAACCUAUAUUCAGCUUAGACUAGUUAAGUCAUUGACCAGGAAUUGCUGCGAUGAAUAUGCAAUCAGGCCAAUCCCUUUCACACUCAUAUG